GACAGAGGAUGCAAGCGUUAUCCGGAAUCACUGGGCGUAAAGCGUCUGUAGGUGGUCAAAUAAGUCAACUGUUAAAUCUUGAGGCUCAACCUCAAAAUCGCAGUCGAAACUAUUAGACUAGAGUAUAGUAGGGGUAAAGGGAAUUCCAGUUGGAGCGGUGAAAUGACGUAGAGAUUGGAAAGAACACCAACGGCGAAAGCACUCUGCUGGGCCGACACUGACACUGAGAGACGAAAGCUAGGGGGAGCAAAACAGG
RNAcentral lists this ribosomal RNA (256 nucleotides) under uncultured bacterium. Its description in RNAcentral is "partial 16S ribosomal RNA". It matches the Rfam family "Bacterial small subunit ribosomal RNA", at positions 524 to 776 of the family's 1533-position model. The record is from RNAcentral.